UACAGAGGUCCCGAGCGUUGUCCGGAUUAUUGGGCGUAAAGAGCUCGUAGGCGGCUUGUCGCGUCGUGUGUGAAAUCUCAGGGCUCAACUCUGACAUUGCAUACGAUACGGGCAGGCUUGAGUUCGUAGGGGAGACUGGAAUUCCUGGUGUAGCGGUGAAAUGCGCAGAUAUCAGGAGGAACACCGGUGGCGAAGGCGGGUCUCUGGGCCGAAUACUGACGCUGAGGAGCGAAAGCGUGGGGAGCG
This 246-nucleotide ribosomal RNA is filed under the name uncultured bacterium. Its description in RNAcentral is "partial 16S ribosomal RNA". It matches the Rfam family "Bacterial small subunit ribosomal RNA", at positions 524 to 770 of the family's 1533-position model. The record is from RNAcentral.